Nomascus leucogenys (northern white-cheeked gibbon) is the source of this 101-nucleotide non-coding RNA. NCBI's taxonomy places the organism in Eukaryota, Metazoa, Chordata, Mammalia, Primates, Hylobatidae. The record is from Rfam.
ACAUGCUUCCAUAGUACAGACUAAAAUUGGAAGGAUGCCAAGAUAAUUAGCAUGGUCUCUGCACAAGGAUGACAUGAAUUUUUGAAGCAUUUCAUAUUUUU